CGUCUUUGUCGCAGAGUUGCAUUUGAUUUUCAAGUCAAUUUAAUUUCAAUUUGAAAUAAAUGUAGAUUUUAUUUUGUAUGCUAAAUCGAACUUAAUAAGCGUUUAAAUUGAGCAGAAGCCGUGAAAAUCUAAAAUAUCAUUAGAGACGUGGAAAAAUCGGGUCUGGAUCGAACUCUUUACAGUAUCUAAAUUUUACUGCGAUAAAUUUGUAUACUGGUUUCUCGCAAUUUUCAUGGUGUGAAACCGGUGGAAAUUUAACGGUGAGACUCCAUAUAUCACCUAAAUUAUACUUAGAAAGGAUUGUUAUUCAAAUCGAGUCCCAUCAUUCCAAAUGGACGCAGCAACCGUACUGAAAGAAUUUGUAUGGGCUCCGUGCACCAACUGAACUAAAUGUUAACAUUGACUUUGAACCCGAUAUCAAAUUGUAAAUCACUUGAACUCAUUUCACAUUUAGUACCUUUCAUUUUACUAAAUUUCUUUAGAAAUAUCCUUAUUUUCACCGAAAUCAUGCAUAAUAUUUUUCUAUGCCGCCGCCAGCCUCAAACUCUCCUGAAACUUACAUUUAUCUAAGAAAUAUAAAUAAAUAUUUAAUAUGUA
This is a long non-coding RNA of Zeugodacus cucurbitae (melon fly), 597 nucleotides long. RefSeq lists it as uncharacterized. The transcript is spliced from 3 exons. The record is from RefSeq and is a predicted model, not a curated record. Lineage: Eukaryota; Metazoa; Arthropoda; Insecta; Diptera; Tephritidae.